AACGAACGCUGGCGGCAGGCUUAACACAUGCAAGUCGAACGAAGUCUUCGGACUUAGUGGCGCACGGGUGAGUAACACGUGGGAAUAUACCUCUUGGUGGGGGAUAACGUCGGGAAACUGACGCUAAUACCGCAUACGCCCUUCGGGGGAAAGAUUUAUCGCCGAGAGAUUAGCCCGCGUCCGAUUAGCUAGUUGGUGAGGUAACGGCUCACCAAGGCAACGAUCGGUAGCUGGUCUGAGAGGAUGAUCAGCCACACUGGGACUGAGACACGGCCCAGACUCCUACGGGAGGCAGCAGUGGGGAAUAUUGGACAAUGGGCGCAAGCCUGAUCCAGCCAUGCCGCGUGAGUGAUGAAGGCCUUAGGGUUGUAAAGCUCUUUCGGGUGGGACGAUGAUGACGGUACCACCAGAAGAAGCCCCGGCUAACUUCGUGCCAGCCGCCGCAGUAA
This 449-nucleotide ribosomal RNA is filed under the name uncultured bacterium. RNAcentral's name for it is "partial 16S ribosomal RNA". It matches the Rfam family "Bacterial small subunit ribosomal RNA", at positions 29 to 523 of the family's 1533-position model. The record is from RNAcentral.